Molecule: ribosomal RNA, 253 nt
Filed under: uncultured bacterium
Lineage: Bacteria
Description: partial 16S ribosomal RNA
Rfam family: Bacterial small subunit ribosomal RNA
Source: RNAcentral
UACGUAGGGUGCAAGCGUUGUCCGGAAUUAUUGGGCGUAAAGAGCUCGUAGGCGGUUUGUCGCGUCGAAUGUGAAAACCCGGGGCUCAACCCCGGGCCUGCAUUCGAUACGGGCAGACUAGAGUUCGGUAGGGGAGUCUGGAAUUCCUGGUGUAGCGGUGAAAUGCGCAGAUAUCAGGAGGAACACCAGCGGCGAAGGCGGCGCUCUGGGCCGGAACUGACGCUGAGGAGCGAAAGCGUGGGUAGCAAACAGG